GGGCGCAUAGAGCAGUGGUAGCGCGUCCGCUUUGCAAGCGGAAGGCCCCGGGUUCAAUCCCCCGUGUGUCCA
RNAcentral lists this transfer RNA (72 nucleotides) under Phytophthora infestans T30-4. It matches the Rfam family "tRNA". From Rfam's summary of the family: Transfer RNA (tRNA) molecules are approximately 80 nucleotides in length. Their secondary structure includes four short double-helical elements and three loops (D, anti-codon, and T loops). Lineage: Eukaryota; Oomycota; Peronosporomycetes; Peronosporales; Peronosporaceae. The record is from Rfam by way of RNAcentral.